CUUCGCAAACCAUAUCUUAAUGACAAUGACACAUUUAUUCAAAACAAAACAAUUGGCCUAUCUUCAUACUUUUUUCCCUAUUCAUAUCAACUAUUAAUCCACAAAAAGAAAGGUACGGGCAAAAAUGAAAAUCUUAGAUAUUAGUAACCAUGUGCUCACCAAGGGAAAUGGGAAUAGAAGGGAUACUGAAGAAAUAAGGAAAUAAGAACAGAAAAGCUAAGGGAGAAUGUGCCUUUGCCAACGUUCCGGAUAGACUACUUUCAUCAGGAUACUAAUAAGAAAUCCAUUUCCAGAAUUCCUUAGAUGACUACUUUCCAUUUCUACGACACAAUUAUUUUGAGCAAAAAAAAAAAAAAAAACCAUCAUGCAUAUCUAAUUAUCUAUAACUACUCGGCUGUACAUAGCUGUACCAUGAGCCUGAUACCAAAUUUUUGCACAUUUCUCAUACUAUAUCCUUUAUAGUUUACAAAGGAGGAAUAUGCACCUUGUUCUACAACACUUGGGGUCCAGGAUCCAAGAAACAGACUCAAUAGAUACACAUAUUUGCUGGAGUUUCAGCUUACAGUAUUAACACAUUUAUGUAAUCCCCCCUCCCUUUUCUUUUCCUUUUUCCUUUUUCCUUUUUUUUUCUCUCAUUCAUUCAUUCAUUUUUUUUCUGUAAAGUACAUUUAUGUCAUUCACUAGGAAAGCACCUACAGUUUACUGACCUCAACUCCCACAGGCUUUGAUACUGUUAUCUGCUUAUAUCAUUACUUGGGCAUUACCAUGGAUCUCAUUUUCUUUGUAGUCAAAGCUUCAACUGAGAAUUGAAAACAAGUUGGCCGGUUUACCUAUGAGAAUUGAACGGGUCAUAAUCACACUAAAAGGGAAAAAACAAGAUUAUGCAUAUAGAAAACAAGAAUCAAACGAAAAUGAGAAAAUGGUGAAAUAUGGCCGUACCACAAGAACCAGAGCAGUUGUGCCAUUGCCACCGUCACUGCCGUUGCCUCGCACAAAUCACAAUAAUCAGUACAUUCAGCAGAAUUUUUUUAAGAAAGUUGUAAUUGGACUUCUGUAAAAAUAAGAUAAUUGGUUUACAACAUGUUGCAGUGGCUGAAAUUAGAAAGGAGUGAAGUCACUCACAAACCACUUAAGC
Molecule: long non-coding RNA, 1135 nt
Filed under: Panax ginseng (ginseng)
Lineage: Eukaryota; Viridiplantae; Streptophyta; Magnoliopsida; Apiales; Araliaceae
Description: long non-coding RNA (PGIN_LNC000335)
Source: RNAcentral